AUUUUAAGUCGCAGGGCUUCAUCUAUCAGCUGGUAUGGUCGUUCUAAUGAUAUUUAUCUGCUGUUAGGUGCUAUUAAUAAUAAUGCAGAGAAAAAUUUAAUCGUUCGUAUUUUUUUCAUUGCCUGUCAGGGGGGCGGAUAUUCAGCAUCUCUCAGCCUCCGCCCGCCUCUGUGGAUCUGUCCAGAGCGGUGGAGAGACGGGAGGGAACCGCAGAGCGACAGGGGCACAGACAGAGACACAGAGAGAGAGAGGGGCGAUGGCCGCGGAUGGAGUAUGCGGGGAAUCGGCGGAUCAGUACCGGGCCGAGUUGGAGCGGCUCACCCAGGAACUGGCCGAGGCGAACCGGGAGAAGAUCCGGGCUGCGGAAUGCGGUCUUGUUGUCCUGGAGGAGAACCAGGCGCUGAAGCAGAAGUAUGCAGACCUGGAGAUCGAGCAGGAGACUCUCAGGAAGGAGUUGGAGCAAUUGCAGGAGGCAUUCGGCCAGGCUUACACCAACCAGCGUAAGGUGGCAGAGGAUGGGGAGACCAACGAGGAGACGUUGCUGCAGGAGUCAGCCUCUAAGGAGGCCUACUACAUGGGCCGUCUGUUGGUGCUGCAGACGGAGGUGACGUUGAGCCGUUCUGUGGCGUCCAAUGCCCAGGCCGAGAACGAGAGGCUCAACGCAGUCGUGCAGGAGCUACGGGAGAGUAACGAGAUGCUGGAGCUACAGAGGAGCCGGAUGAGGGAAGAGGUCAAGGAGUAUAAGUUCAGGGAGACCAGGCUGCUUCAGGAUUACACAGAGCUGGAGGAGGAGAACAUCACGCUGCAGAAACUGGUGUCUACGCUCAAGCAGAGCCAGGUGGAGUAUGAGGGACUAAAACAUGAAAUCAAAGUACUGGAGGAGGAGACUGUUCUCCUAAACAGUCAGCUGGAAGAUGCCUUACGUCUGAAGGACAUUUCUGAGGGUCAGCUGGAGGAGGCCUUGGAUGCCCUCAAGAGUGAGCGCGAGCAGAAGAACAAUCUGAGAAAGGAACUGGCCCACCACAUCAGCCUGAGUGACAGUGUCUACGGAGCAGGGGCCCAUCUGGCGCUCACCGUCACCGGUGUAGAGGGUCUAAAGUUCUCUGAGGAGACCAACGGAACCAACGGCACCAACGGCAGCUCCAUCCCUGCUGCUAACGGCAACAAUGAGGACAGCAACCGCCGCAACUGCCUCGUUCACACAGGCACCGGAUUGGCUAAGAUGAACGGGGACUACCGGCCAGGCUGGAAAGGAGAAGGCCUCCACCCCGUGCCGGACCUGUUCAGUGAGCUCAACCUGUCUGAGAUGCAGAAGCUCAAACAGCAGCUGUUACAGGUGGAGCGGGAGAAGUCGGCGCUUCUCAUGAACCUGCAGGAGUCACAGACCCAGCUGCAGCACACGCAGGGCGCCCUGACCGAGCAGAAUGAGCGCGUCCAUCGCCUCAUGGAGCGCGUCAGCGGCAUGAAAUGUCUCAAUGGAGACAAAGAGCUUGAUGAACCACAGGAGAGUGAGAAACCUGAUGGGGGCUCCUUAUCACCACCAGCCAAUGGUCACCAUGAUCCCGAUAUCCAUGGGUUCGAGAUCCUGGAGUGUAAGUACAAGGUGGCGGUGACGGAGGUGAUCGACCUGAAAGCAGAACUAAAGGUCCUGAAGGAGAAGUACAACCAGGCUGUGGAGGGGCAGGGGGACAGCCACAGCGACGACAGGGUCCCGGCACUGACUGAACAGCAGGUAACUCAUUUGGAGCGUAGUUAUCGUGAGAGUCGGGAGAGGGUGGUGAGCCUGGAGGCAGAGCUCCGAGCAUCGGCGAGCACAGCCACAGAGAGCCAGGGCAUGCUGAAUGCAGCACAGGAUGAGCUGGUAACCUUCAGUGAAGAACUGGCACAGCUCUACCACCAUGUCUGCCUGUGCAACAACGAGACACCCAACCGCGUCAUGCUGGACUACUACCGCCAGAGCCGCGUCACACGUAGCGGCAGCCUGAAGGGCUCAGACGACCACCGGGCUUUGCUCUCGCCUCGCUUGGCGCGACGCCUCGCUGCAGCGUCUGCAGCCUGCUCCUCCGAGCUCCCGCGCACUCCCAUGGACUCCCCAUCCAAAGACGGCCAUCUCAAUGAGACGACAACCAACACGGUGGACUCCUGUCAUAGCAGCCCUACCCGCAACCCUACAGGGUCCCCAGUCAUCAGCAUCUCUCCUUGCCCGUCUCCAGUGCCCUCCGAGGCAGGUGGGGACCUGCGGAAGGAGCCCAUGAAUAUCUACAACCUGAACGCCAUCAUCAGAGACCAGAUCAAACACCUGCAGAGGGCUGUGGACCGCUCACUGCAGCUGUCCAGGCAGAGGGCUGCAGCCAGGGAGCUGGCGCCGAUGCUUGACAAGGACAAGGAGUUGUGCAUGGAAGAGAUACUCAAACUGAAGUCCCUGCUCAGUACCAAGAGAGAGCAGAUAGCCACACUCAGGCUGGUGCUGAAGGCCAAUAAACAGACAGCAGAGGGGGCACUGGCAAAUUUGAAGAGCAAGUACGAGAAUGAAAAGGCGAUGGUGACAGAGACCAUGAUGAAGCUGAGGAACGAGCUCAAGGCUCUGAAAGAAGAUGCCGCCACCUUCUCGUCUCUCAGGGCCAUGUUUGCCACAAGAUGUGAUGAGUACGUUACCCAGCUGGAUGAGAUGCAGAGGCAGCUGGCAGCAGCAGAGGAUGAGAAAAAGACGUUGAACUCCCUCCUCCGUAUGGCCAUCCAGCAGAAACUGGCCUUGACCCAACGGCUGGAGGAUCUGGAGUUUGACCACGAGCAGACUCACCGUGGCCGCGGCGCUAAAGUGCCCAAGAUAAAAAGCAGCCCGCCCAAAGUAAGUCGCAGAGGUGCCGUCACAGCUCCCUCCAGUCCCACGAGGUUCCACAGCCCCUCCAUUAUCACCACCCACACCCUGAACACCUCCCUUACUAAUCCUCCCUCUGUAGAACUAACCGCCUGUCCGUCCAUGUCUGCGUGGACUUCAGACACACUUUCUGAAACAAUCCAGACCUCAGCUUCAACUCUUCAACCGAACAUCAGUUACCCUCAUUUGUUUCUGGGCACCCAGCCCAUCAUGGUAGACCCUGAGCGGCUAACCUUAGAGUUCAGACGACUCAUUUAUUCAAGACAAGACAUAGGUCGACUGUCCCCUUCUCACAGCACCAGUAGCCCUGCCUCGGUAUCUCCUCGCCUUCGACGAAGGCGAUGAUUCAUCAUCAUCAAUGUACACAGUUCCCAGAAGCCACUGGAUUAGGUGGGAUACAGAGAGGAGGAAAAACUGGUUUCACAUGUCUAUGGUUUGAACAUGCAGCAACACUCAGGAAGAAGGAGCCCCUGACAGCUUGCUCCAUCCUCAAAACAGCACUGAACAGCCUUUUUGGUAUUGAUACGGUUGGACUGCAUAGAAUUUUCUUAUGAACACCGUUACAAAUGUGAUACCAGUCAUCUUUCUUGGCAUAUGAAUAACUGCUACCAUAAAAUGAGACAAUAUUUAUAUCACUCUCUUAGAGUACUAGGAAGUGUGUCAAAGUGAAAACCGAGCAAAACAUGGCUGCAGCCUCUGCUUCAGCAUAUAGUGACUCAUAGCACCUCCGUGUGGCAGACUCUGUGAAUUACAUGUUAGAUUUCUUUUUCUUUUUUGCAUCUUUAUCAAACGGUAUUUUAUCUAAACUAUUCCAUAAAAAUAUGCUAUGUUGUAAAAUUAUAUUUCCUCCAGGCAAUCCUUGACCAGUCAGACCUCCUCUCUGUGCCUCAAUCUCCUAUUUGAUUGUCCCCUCUGUACACUUACCCCUCAUGUAGUAUCCAAAAGAAAAGUAGAGGGAAGUAAACUAAAUCCACUCCUCCCUCUGCUGACGGACAUUGUCUUGACAAACCUCUCUCACAAUAUUCCCAGUUUUCUCCACCAGCGAACAUUUCCAUUUUCUUUACUUUCAAAUGUUGUUUGACCACUCUCUCAAUUCAAUUCAAUUCAAAGAGGCUUUAUUAGCAUGACCAUAUUGGUAGGAUGCAGACAAUAAAGCAUUAGGUUAACAUUUGUGCAAAAGCAACAAUCAUGUCAACAAAAUUUAACAAUAAGAACAAAACUGAUGGAUAUCAACAUAAAAACAAGAAUAUUACAAUUGUGUGUGUGUGUGUGUGUGUGUGUGUGUGUGUGUGUGUGUGUGCACGCGUGCGUGUGUCACUCUCUCUCUCACCCUCUCUCUCUCUUUUAUCCUACCUCAGAUAAUAUAUAGCAUAAGGGAAACAGCUUAAACAAGAUUUUAAGAUAACACAACAUCAUAUGAUAUGAGUGGAACUGACGAGCAUGACUGGUGUGGACUUAAAACGGACUUCAUGAAUAGAAUUGAGCCAUGAGCACCAGGUGUUCGGGAGUUGAGCAGCAUUGGAUUGUUCAGCAUUAGCCCCACUGUGUCUGUCUUCCUCUUUGUGUGCUGUACCAAUCAAUAUAAUAUUGGUUGAUUCAAGUGUGUGUGUGUGUGUGUGUGUGUGUGUGUGUGUGUGUGUGUGUGUGUGUGUGUGUGUGUGUGUGUGUGUGUGUGUGUGUCUUUGUGUUUUCCACCUCCAGUGCUGAUUGUCUAGCUGUGCAGUGACUGGUCCUGUCGGUGUGAUCAGAUGAGACUGGUUUAGUUACAUUUACACUAUGCAAGCAUAUACUGUAAAUGACAGGCAGUGGAAGAAGCCACUUAGGUUAUGCUUAGCCUGGCUUCAAGUAUUUCCUCUGCUCUUUUUCUCAUAGUUCUCCUCAUGCUCUCUUUUUCUCAGACUUUUCACUUACAGAAACACUGAUUUCCACGACCAGAAGAAUCACAGUUGAAUAUCCCCACGGAUGAAUAUCCCCACCAUAUGUAAAUUAUUAAAUAGUGCUAUAGUAAUGUCGUGAGAAAAACUGUAUAUAGAGCAGGAUCAGACUGGUGCUUUAGUAUAAAAACCAGUGCUAUCGUAGCAGCAAACCAGUAGUAGUCUCAUUGUCUCUGACCAGGUCUUCCCCUGUCUUGUGCUGCGUGUUUUCUCUGUCCUAUUGUCUAACCCUGAGUGUCACCACUCUGUAUAUCUGUCUAAUUUAUCAGUUUCUUGUAGAUUGUCAGCAGCCUGCUGCCUCAAUACCGUCACUCUCCCCACAACUAAGGCGCGGGAGAGCCUCCCUAGCCCGCAGUCCUAAAUUUUUGGCAGACCUCCAGAAACACCGUGCAGUCCUGUCCAGCAGCAGUAGCCCUCUCUCCCCCUGCGAUCCUCGUAACUGUCUGGCCCAUCAACCUCUGCUCCCCGGCACCUAACCCCACUGCUCCAGCCCAGGCUCUGGCCUCGGCCUGGUAGGAGUCACGCAGAGACAGAGAGACACUUUGGAUUGGGGUUCCCUCAGUUUUACUACCCCCAACCUAGCAUCCACCUGGUGCGUAUUGGACUCUGUGACCCCGCCCUCCCCUCCCUAAGCGCAAACAUGGUCCGGCCCUCGGCAGGCCUCCUGGUUACCUGGGUCGCAGAAGAAGAGUAAGAUGCUCUCUUCUUCUCUGGAAGUGACAUCCUGUCCUGGAAAAGGACUGAACUAAGACGCAAAAUGAGAAUCACUGGAAUCUUUUCCCUUAAUCGUAUUAGUAUUUAUUUAUAAUUUAUUUACUCUAUUGAUUAUUUAUUUACAUAUUGAUUUGUAACACAUUUCUAAAAUAUUUAUUACUGGAAUGUUUUUUCUGUGUUUGUUGGUCAUUCUUCAGUAUGGAUAUCAAGCCGUGUGUUAUUGCUGUGGUGAAGACUUCAGUGAUCACAGACAAUUUGGCAGAUUCACUACUGUACACGGCUGAACAAAGGAAAACCAAUGCAACCAAAACCAGACCUGCAAAGGUUCUUUCUGGUGUAGUAAACCGAUUUAAAACUUGCCUCAUCAUACUAUACGGCAUUAAAAUGUCAGAUUUUGACAGUAUAAUAAUCAAAACAUAUGUAUGCCACUUUCACAUAGGAGUGUUAGAGUACAUUGGGUUUGACAUUGCAGACAGACUAAUGAAGGUAAACACUUUAUUUUAAGAAAACUGUUUAUUGUGGUGAUGGGUGGAUUUCAGCUACCUUUCUAACAUCACUAGUCUUUCUUGGGAUGCUUGUCAUUUUUUUAAACAAAGAUUUUUUUUUUUUUUGCAAAUCAUGUGCAUAAAAACUAUUUUAUACCUCCUAUUAUUUGUAUUUAUUUUUACAGCAGAUUCUAGUGGCAUGGUUGUGUCUGUUUAUGUAGCUCAGAUCUUCAGAGACUGAGAUAGACGAGAGACUGAGUGUUUGAGAUCAGGACUAGGGCUGUCGGCCUGAAAUUUGCCUUUUGAAUUGCACAGGUUUAAGUGAACAUGGAGUGAACUGACCUCCAUUAUUUUAACAUUAGUUAAGAGCAGAGAGGGUUACCCAAAAGCGUUCCUCUUCUCGAGUAACCGUCAUUGUAUUCUCACCCAGUAUUCUCUGUCUUCCUCUUUCACUGUAUUGGCCACACCCCCAGAAAACUGUUAUUAUGACCCUUUGUUCAUCCAUUUACAUGUCUAGCUGUCUCUACAUGCUUCCUCCAAACAGUAUGCAGUACUGUCUAAGCACAAUUAUGCAUAUGCAUUAAAGCAAUACAGUAGUGCUGGUCGGAGACUGAUCUGAUUAAGAUGAACUCAAUCUUUUCAUUUCUAUCACCACAAACUAACCAGCAGGCUGAUAAGAAAGGCAAGACAGUUGGGGAUACAAUCAAGAUAUUAUUUCUUUUUGAAACAUUGUUUUGAUCACAGAGGGGCAAAGUCUGGCUGAGAUGGAUGUAAUGUGUGACGUUUGUCGCAUAAUUGAAAUCCCAUUCCUCUGUCUUGGUACCCUCAUAAUGUCUAAAGUGUUCCCCUCACUGCACUGAAUACAUAUUUUUGCCAGAUGGAUAUGAAAUGGAUAAACUACAACUACAUAGCCAGUAUAGUGUUGUAAUGACAAAGCAUUUCUGUUACAACAGCGAUGAAUGAGUGGACUCUUUCUGUUCUUUGUGUGUGUGUGUGUGUGUGUGUGUGUGUGUGUGUGUGUGUGUGUGCGUGUGCGUGUAAAUUUGUUGGACUUGUCUUUGUUAACAGUGAAGAUUGUUACUUUUUGCAACUACAGAGUGAUGAAAAUAUGUGUGGUCCAAAGCUUCUGAAGCCACGCAGGCUCAUUGGUGACCUAACUCUCUUGGUUUGUUUGCACAAUAUAGCAGUGGACGGAGAGAGACUAAUCUGAUGAAAGAAAGAAAA
Molecule: RNA transcript, 7235 nt
Organism: Sander lucioperca (pikeperch)
Lineage: Eukaryota; Metazoa; Chordata; Actinopteri; Perciformes; Percidae
Gene: bicd1a
Gene name: bicaudal D homolog 1a
Exons: 9
Source: RefSeq, a predicted model, not a curated record